Molecule: ribosomal RNA, 267 nt
Filed under: uncultured bacterium
Lineage: Bacteria
Description: partial 16S ribosomal RNA
Source: RNAcentral
CUGCUGCCUCCCGUAGGAGUCUGGGCCGUGUCUCAGUCCCAGUGUGGCCGUCCACCCUCUCAGGCCGGCUGCUGAUCGUCGCUUUGGUGGGCCGUUACCCCGCCAACUGGCUAAUCAGACGCGGGCCCAUCCUGUACCACCGGAGUUUUCAAAGGAUUACCAUGCGGUAUUCCCUAUUAUGCGGUAUUAGCACCUAUUUCUAAGUGUUAUCCCCCGGGUACAGGGCAGGUUGCCCACGCGUUACUCACCCGUCCGCCACUAAGACAG